AUUGAACGCUGGCGGCAUGCCUUACACAUGCAAGUCGAACGGCAGCACGGGUGCUUGCCCCUGGUGGCGAGUGGCGAACGGGUGAGUAAUACAUCGGAACAUGUCCUGUAGUGGGGGAUAGCCCGGCGAAAGCCGGAUUAAUACCGCAUACGAUCCACGGAUGAAAGCGGGGGACCUUCGGGCCUCGCGCUAUCGGGUUGGCCGAUGGCUGAUUAGCUAGUUGGUGGGGUAAAGGCCUACCAAGGCGACGAUCAGUAGCUGGUCUGAGAGGACGACCAGCCACACUGGGACUGAGACACGGCCCAGACUCCUACGGGAGGCAGCAGUGGGGAAUUUUGGACAAUGGGCGAAAGCCUGAUCCAGCAAUGCCGCGUGUGUGAAGAAGGCCUUCGGGUUGUAAAGCACUUUUGUCCGGAAAGAAAUCCUUGGCUCUAAUACAGUCGGGGGAUGACGGUACCGGAAGAAUAAGCACCGGCUAACUACGUG
Molecule: ribosomal RNA, 486 nt
Filed under: uncultured bacterium
Lineage: Bacteria
Description: partial 16S ribosomal RNA
Rfam family: Bacterial small subunit ribosomal RNA
Source: RNAcentral